AUGAGACGAAGAUUACUAAAUUUGGUAAUUUCUCAGCCCUUGUUUACUCCGCUAAAUCUGCUUAUGAAGACACUGUUUGAAGGAAUAGCCCAAUCUUGGAAGGCUGGGCAUCGGCGAAGUGCAAGAUCUUCGCCAACCGCUGCCAGACAGAGGAUAUGCUGGAGCGACACAGGCUUCAAAAUCAGCAUCUUUGCCCUCUCUGCAGCCGGGAGGCCUAGGCCAUAUUCCAUCUCCUCACGUGCUACUUGGGAUGGACCGAACAUGAUCAAAAGCCACAAUUGGGAACAACCACACAAUGAUUGCGUGUUUGAUCGAUGCGACACCAGAUGGAUCGCUGAGUCGAAGCGCAGAGCUGCAUCGGAAACAGUUGUGAAUGUAUUCCUUGAUUCAUUUGGUCUGCCAGCUCUUGAUUUGGUCAUGGUUGCUAUCAACAUGGUGGUUUCCAGCUGCAACUGA
This 456-nucleotide ribosomal RNA is filed under the name Triticum aestivum (bread wheat). Its description in RNAcentral is "partial small subunit ribosomal RNA". The record is from RNAcentral. Lineage: Eukaryota; Viridiplantae; Streptophyta; Magnoliopsida; Poales; Poaceae.